AUGCCCGUGCGCUCUCCUCUCGCUCCACACUUCGCUCUCAGUCCCUCCCAACCCUCUCCCGUCGCAGCGCAGCCGCGGCGGGCGCCCAUGGCAGAAUUCUUCAGGUCACUGAUCGUUACUGCCAACACAAUUGCUACCAUGAUAAUUCAUCCCUCGCUUUGCCAGAGUGAGGAAUUGCUUGCAUGGAUGGAGUGCCCAAAUUGCAAGUACCGCAUUGAUAAUACUGAUGUUUUAUCACAGUGGCCAGGACUCCCUGCUGGUGUUAAAUUUGAUCCAACUGAUCUCGAACUGCUUGAACAUUUAGAAGGAAAGGUUGGCGGGGCAGCGUCCCAUGUACUAAUAGAUGAUUUUAUUCCAACCAUAGAGGAGGCCCAAGGAAUCUGCUAUACACAUCCGGAAAAUCUCCCUGGUAUCAAGAUGGACGGGAGCACCGGUCACUUCUUCCACAAAGUAUCCAAUGCAUACGUUGUUGGCAAGCGUAAGCGUCGCAAGAUUAGCAAUAGUGAGCACACUGUUUGUGAUGAGAAUCUCAGAUGGCACAAGACUGGAAAAUCCAGAUCUAUCUUAGAUAAUAACGGUGUCAUAAAAGGGUGGAAGAAAAUAUUGGUUCUUUACAUAGGUUAUCGGAAAGGAGGUGGCAAGACAGAGAAAACUAAUUGGAGAAUGCAUCAGUACCACCUUGGGGUAGAUCAAGAUGAAAAGCAGGAGGAGCUUGUUGUUUCCAAAGUCUUUUAUCAGGUGCAGUCAAUGAAUGCUGGGCCCUCUGCAGACUCGUUGCCUCUGCAGACUCGUCGCCCAAACGGUAGUCCAUCCGGAACCGAGCAGAAUCAGGAGGAAGGACAGUCCGGCAUGUCUACUGUUCGGGAAGCCGUGGAAUGGCUCGCUGGAAGCUCGUCGCAUGCCGUGGAGGACGCACCGCUGUCUGGCCUGGAUGAGCACCUGUCAAGCGACGGAACCCCGGACGCCGCAUACCCUGUGGGGCAGCCUCUGCCUCUUGACGCGUCGGAGGCGCUCCAGGGGUUCGCCGACCUCGGAGCGCCUCCGGAUGUCUCCCUUCCGCCCCACACGCAGUUCGGGCGGCAGGAUAGCAUGGAGAUGUGGCUGGUCAGCGUGUUAACAGAGGAUGAGGGUGUGUUUGAAGCAGCGGAGCAACAAGAAGAGGCUGGUUUUUCUCCGUGA
This 1179-nucleotide ribosomal RNA is filed under the name Triticum aestivum (bread wheat). RNAcentral describes it as "partial small subunit ribosomal RNA". The record is from RNAcentral. Lineage: Eukaryota; Viridiplantae; Streptophyta; Magnoliopsida; Poales; Poaceae.